Molecule: long non-coding RNA, 1533 nt
Organism: Lucilia sericata (common green bottle fly)
Lineage: Eukaryota; Metazoa; Arthropoda; Insecta; Diptera; Calliphoridae
Exons: 3
Source: RefSeq, a predicted model, not a curated record
AAUUACAUAUGUGAAAAUUAUUUACAUAUGUAUAUUCCAUAUUAAUUAAAAAAUCGUUUAAUGUGUUGUUUUCAAAAUUUAAUUAAUGCCAAAAAUUUAUCGCUAAUGAAGUACCGGGCAGCAAGCCAAUUUUAAACACCGUUUUCAUCCCUUCAUUACCCGAAUUUCUAAAAAGUACCGAAAGGAUUUCUAAUAGACUUUAAUUAUAAUAGGAUAAAUUUAAAGUUUUAUUUGCAUGGUCAUUUGUUUCGAACAUAAAUAGGUUAAGAGAAGGUUCUAUGGGGACAGUUUUUACCCUUUUAGCUCUAUAAAGUCUAGAUUUUUAAAAAAAGUACCAGACACCUAUCAAUUAUUUAUUUGUAUAAUAGAGGAUACAUUUGGAAUUUUAUUUAUAUCUUUGCUUCUUUAGGAGAUAUAAAGGAUACUAAUUUUAUCCUUUUUUACCCAUUUCUUCCCCUAAACGUAAUCCCUUCUUAGUGGAUCUAUACAAUGCCAAAGGAACCUAUAACCAAAAUUUCAUGAUUCUAGCUUUAACGGUUUGGGCUGGGCGAUGAUGAAUCAAUCAGUCACGCAAGCCUUUUAUAUAUAGAUUGAGAGAAGGAGAAUGGAUAGUUAGCUGCUGGUUUCAUACCUACAUCCUGUACAAAAAUAUUUUAACAGAUUAAAGUCUACUAAACUCACCUGCAAACAAAUCAACUGUAGUAAUGGGCGUCACAACAGUACUACAUUCGACACCAUUACAACUGGAACCAUUUUUUUCUUUUCCGUACACUAUCCACGGUGAACCAGAAUUCAACGAACACAUAAAUCCUAUGUCGCAAAACAGAAUUUGGAUGUAAAACCAUUUCUCUUCUGUGCGGCGAUUUAAUACGAUUAACCUUAGAAUCCAAUACGCAUAUAUUAGGAUACAUCUCACCAAUUAAUGACAGAACAAUUCGAUUUGAGAUUUAUAUGUUGCAUACUAAGAUCAACUUUGCUAUAUAUUAAUUGUGAUGAUCUUAAGGAUCCAACCAAUUGAGUACGGAUAUUGCAGUCCUGUUCCAACAGGCCAUUCAAAAUGAAAUUAUAUUAAAAUCAAAAACCAAUUCCUCAUUUCUAAAGUUAUUUUUCCAUUCUUGAUACAGACGCAAGAAUAUCAAGUGAUCGGAAGGAAUACAUUCAAAUAAACGUUGUUUUUCUUCUUUUAUAUUAUGACGCAAUAAAUCUUUGAAGGGUUCAUUUAAAUGAUUCAUAUAGUGUGACAACUCUAAGGGAUCUAUAGUCGACAUAAAGCCCACAAUGGUUAGUACCGGAACCAAACAUAGCAACAAAGUAGCAAUCACCAUAUUUUGGCUCUUUGCUUGAUAGAAUACGAAUUUCGACUAGCCACUACCGAUGGGCGUCAACUUUUUUCUAUUAUGGAUUAUUUCAUGGCAGAAUAAUUUGUCCAGUUUGUUUUUUCAACUUUAGCAGUCGUUUUCAAAACAAUAACAAAAAGCCAUCACUAUACCCCCAAAGAAUAUCAAGAAGAUCUACAUAUGUCACAUUUAAAGC